Homo sapiens (human) is the source of this 681-nucleotide long non-coding RNA. The record is from Ensembl. Lineage: Eukaryota; Metazoa; Chordata; Mammalia; Primates; Hominidae.
GCACGUGUGUGUUUUGUGUAUUAUUGUCAGGAGGCAGGGAUGGUCAUGGAGGUCCCACCCCAAGGCUGCAACCUACAAAUGACACGUCUCAGCCCUGGUCUUUGGCCUUGACUUACACCAGAUCAGUGGGAAAAAGAAACAUGUAGGUAAAGUUGAUCCUUGAACAACAUGGGUUUGAACUGAACGUGUCCACUGAUUUGUGGAUUUUCUUCCACCUCUGUCAUUCCUGAGACAGCAAGACCAACCCUCCCACUCCUCCUCCUUCUCCUCAGCCUAGUCAAUGUGAAGACAAGGAUGAAGACCUUUCUGAUGAUCCACUUCUACUUAAUGAAGAGUAAAUGUAUUCUUUCUUCCUUAUGCUUUUCUGAAAAACAUUUUAACAUCUAAAAUAUGUGUUAAUUGGCUAUAUUAUUGAUAAGACUUCUCUGUUCAGUAGGCUAUUAGUAGUUAAGUUUUUGGUAGUUAAGUCAAAAGUUAUAUGCAGAUUUUUGACAUGUAGGGGAGAGGAGAUUGGCUCCCCUAAUCCCUGCAUUGUUCAAGAGUUAACUGCAAUUGAAAAUAAAAGCAAUGCUAAAUUGUUACACAAGUAUAAGCAACUAGAAUAAUUGUUUUUUCUCCUGAUGACUACUCUGAUGGUUUUCAAAUAAUAAAUUCAAUAAAAUUUUUUUAUUUCAGGUGCCC